AUCCCUGGAAGGUAGAGAAAGAAAGUCCCGGAGACUCUUCUCUCGGUGAGUGGGCAAGCUUCAGGUAUCUAGGAAUCACUGUAGGCUGCGUAAGAAGAGGGUGCAACUUGGAGUAUUGAUUGGGAAACUUCCUUUAGGGUUCUCAGGCCUCAAGAAAUGAUGGGGAAGAAAAUGACCUUACAAAUGGAAUCCAAAAAGAAGCUCCCCUUCUAACAGCAAUUAAAAGUGACUUCUUCAGAGGGAGGAGUGAAUAAGAAUAUCAGUCAAUGGUCAGUCUUAUUCACACACAGGAACCACACUAGAAGGCUAACUGUAGGCAUAUUAAUGAGCAUCAUCAAGGCCUAUUUCAGUUGGAAAAAACCUUGAGACUCACCUGGGGGAACACUUCAGCCAACUCCUUUGUCUCAGAGGUAGAAAACCUGAAGAUGUGGGUAAACCCUAAAGGAAGUUAUAGGUCAACCCAGAUGGAAAGGAAGACAAAGAGCCUUGAUACUUUGUUAGUGCCUAUUUUACAUACAUUUUGCUCCAUGUUCUGCCCAGAACCAUAUACAAACUCCUAAGCUGGCACACCAAAAUGGGUUUUUCUGCAACUGAUCCUCCUUCCCACUGUGGGACUCCUUUAACUUAAAUAAAUCCUGCUCUAUUUACUCUUAGAAAAAAAAAAGUGAUGGGGAAGGGAAAACCCAGGCUCCUAGACGCAAUCUUCCUCUUUUUAUUCAACCUGUUAUUUCUAAUAAGGGCUAUGUUUUCAUGUCCUUCAACUCCCCCUCCUCAGCUCUGAACAACUGCCCUGAAGGAAAAUUAUUAGUAGAUUACUGAGUAAAGGAGGGUUGGCUGCUAGAGUUGUUUUCUGCUCCAUUUCUCUUGAGGGAUGGCCCUCCUUCCUUUCCUCAAAGGUGUAUGUCAGGUGGGAGUUCUAGGGGAGCUGUGGGUGCAGCUGUGCUGUCACCUGCCUGGACUCUAGUAACCUCGGAAUAGCCCUUCCUGCACACCCCCGGAGCACAGUUGAAAGACCUGGAGAUCUACCUGUUCUUGGAAGUACCUCAGAUUAUUAACUGAGGACCAGAACUAAAAUCCUAACCCUUGAACAUCCAGUAGCAGAAAGCUCAUGCUCCCAGGGCAGAACUCCCUAGAUCAUCCAGUUCACAAAAUAUACUUUUACAAAGUUAUUUUCACUUCAGAACUAUUCACAAAGAGGUAAAAAGCAAAGCAAACCUACAAGAAAAACAACUUCCAUCAUCCCUGGGUUUGUUAGUUUUACGCUGACAAUGGAAGGACAUGGCUUAGAGGGUCUUCAUCUUUUAUUUGGCUUUGUUCUUUAUGAAAUGAGCCCAAAGCAUAAGCAUUUGAGUUGUAUUUUUCUGGAAUAGAUGUACUAAGAAAAAUGGGGUUAAACCGACUUGUACAUCUCUUAAGUUUGGUUCAUGCCUAAAUGUGAAAAUGUCUCAGAAAUUUAAAAAUUUUUAAUACAAUUCCUUCCAAUGAAAAACUGACGUCCUCUGUGAAAUUUUCUGGGGCAGCAUCUUCAUGAAGGAAGCAUGCGUUUUCCCAAUUUCUACAAGGUGUCAGAGGACUUAGUAGCAACCCCAGUGAAAUAGCCUGUAAUGGUUUUUAAAAGUCGGCCAAAGUGAGUACAUAGUAUUCAGCACCCCUGUUUUUUUUUUGUUUGUUUUGUUUUGUUUUGUUUUUGUUUUUUUUAAAAGAUAGAGAGAGGAGAGAGAGAGAAAGAUAAUUUUUUUAAUAUUUAUUUUUUAGUUUUCGGUGGACAUAACAUCUUUGUUUGUAUGUGGUGCUGAGGAUCGAACCCGGGUUGCACGCAUGCCAGGCGAGCGCGCUACCGCUUGAGCCACAUCCCCAGCCCACCCCUGUUUAAUUUGUAUGAGUGUUGUUCCUAUCUCCCUGUUCUCUCCAACAAAGACCAGUAAACGGGCCCUGCACUUCCCUUACUACCACCACAUUGUCUCCUUUUAGCUGCCAGAAGCAUCUAUUUAAAAGGAAAACCAUGCUGUAUUGUUCUCGUGCAUAAAAUCCCUAUUGGCUUCCACCAAGGAGCACAAUCCAGAGUCCUCAUCACAGCCUUCAGAGAUCUACUUGUUCUAGCCCCAGCUACCUCUUCACCUUUAAUCUGCUCUCACCCUGCCCUUUAUUUGAGGACUCUAACCAGGCUACUGCCACCUCAGGGCCUCUGCAUUUGCUUUCCUUUUGGGGACCAUUCUUUCUGUUGACCACAAAUACACAUAACUUACUUCUUUGUGUUGCAGAGAUUUCUUGAAUAGACAGUGCAUCUAAAACAGCCCUCUAUUUCUCCACGUUUUUAUCUCCUUAGCAUGCUUUUUUUUCCUUCAGCAUGCUGUUAAUAUUAGUAUUAUUAAUGAUCUUUCUCUUCCUUUGCAUCAUAGGCUACCUUAUGCAGUGUUUCCUGUUUUGUUCAUUCCCUUUUCCCCAACACAACACCUCAAUGGCUGGCCAUUGUAGGUUUCCACUUACAUAGUGAAUGCAGGAGUGACUUGGACUAGGUUAGUGGUGAUGGGAGACCAAUCCAGAAACAGUUGGGAGAUAAAAGCACAUCUUGGAUUAUAUAUGGAAAACAGAAGAAAUGGAGUUGUGAGGGAUUCUUGCUAGGUUUCUGGCUUUUUUGGGGAUAGACAGUGACAUCAUUCAAGGAGUUGAUAAUAUCUAGAAGGAGGACUAAUUUGGAAGAUGGUGGAAAUUUGUGCUGUUUUUUUUUUUGGGGGGGGGGGUCUCAUUUUACUUUUUUUUUUUUAAGUGUUUAUUUUGCCAGGCGUGGUGGUGCCCGGCUAUAAUAUCAGUAGUUCGGGAGGCUGAGCAGGAGGAUAGCAAGUUUAAAGCCAACCUCAGCAAAAGUGAGGUGCCAAACAACUCAAUGAGACUCUUGUCUCUAAAUAAAAUACAAAACAGGGCUGGGGAUGUGGCUCAGUGGUUGAGUACCUCUGAGUUCAACCCCCGGUACCCCUCUCUCCCCAAAAAGUGUUUAUUUUGAGACAGUUGAUUUAUAUGCAAUUAUAAGAAGUGGUACAGAGGGAUUCCAUGUCCCAUGUGCCCAAUUCUAAAAACAUAGUAUAAUACUGUAUCACAACCAAGAUAUUGACACUGAUACAAUGAAGAAAUGAAGAAUUCCUCAGUCUGUACAAGGAUGCCUCCUGAUACCCUUUUUUAGACACACCUAUUUCCUUCCUUGUUUAUUGUCCCUAUACCCCACCUUCCCUCAACCUUAAUCCUUGGUAACCACUAUGUGUUUUCUAUUUGUAUAAUUUUGUCCUUUCAAGACUGCUAUAUAGGGAUAUAACUCAGUGGUAGAGUACUUGCCUAGCAUGCAUGAGGCCCUAGGUUCAAUCCCCAAUACCACAAAAAAAGAAGAAAAGCUAUAUAAAUAAGAUAAUACAGUGUUUACAGCCUCUUUUAGAAUUGGCUCCCCACGCACACAUGCACUUAGCAUCAUUCUCUGGAGGUUCAUCCAGGUGAUAUAUGCAUCAGUACUUCAUUCCUUCUGAUUGCUGCAUUGUAUGCCACGGAAUGGCUUUGUCACAAUUUAUAGAACUAUUCCCUUGUUGAAGGACAUCCGGAUUGUUUCCAGUUUGGGGCAGUUACUAAUGAAGCUGCUGUAAACAUUCAUAUACAAGUUUUACACAAAAAUACAUAAGUUUUUAUUUUUUGUCUAAGAGUGCAAUUGCUAGGUCAUCAUGGUAGUUGAAUGUUUAGUUUUGAAGACAAGUAAAUUGUGUUUUAGAAUGACUGUCCCAUUUUACCAUUUUAUGUUGCACUAGCAGUGUGUGAGUAAUCCAGUGUUGCUGCAUACUUGCUGACAUUUUACCACAUCACUACUUUUUAUUUUAGCCAUUCUGAUGGAUAUAUGAUCAAAUACAUAGUGAUUUUCAUUUGCAUGUUCCUAGUGUCUGUUGAUGUUGGACUCAACAUAUUUCCAUAUGCUUAUUUACCAUUUGUAUGUCUUCUUUGUAUAAAAGAUACAUGUGUUUUCUUGUAUAUCUUUCUGUAUAAAAAUAUCUGUUUAUGUUUUUUGUUCAUUUUCUACUUAAAUUGUUUUGGGGUUUUGUUUAGUUGUUUUACUGUUGAGUUUGAGAAUUCUUAUUUUCUUAAUAGUAGUAAUUUUUCAGAUGUGUUUUGCAAAUAUUUUCUCUAAGUCUGUAAUUUGCCUUUUCAUCCUGUUAACUGGGUCUUUUAUAGAGCAAAAGUGUUAAUCUUGAUGAGGUCCAAUUUAUCAGUGUUUCCUUUUACGGUUUGUCUGUUUGGUAUCAAGUGGAAAAACUCUGCCUAUUCUUACAUCUUAAAUAUUUUCUUCUGUUCCCGCCCCCCAAAAGUGUUAAAAUUUUACAUUUAUGUACAUGACCCUUCUUAAGUUUUCUUAAAUUAUUAUUAGAUGUGAAAUUGUGUUAAGGUUCAUUUUUUUGCUGUGUAUAUUCAAUUGUUCCUCCGUUGUUUGUUGAAGAAGCUAUUUUUCUUCCACAGAAUUCUUUAGUACCUUUGUCAAAAAGCAGUUGAACAUAGUUGUUAGGAUGUCUGUUUCUGGGUUUUCUUUUCUGUCCAGUUGAUCUAUGUCUGUUCCUCUGCCAAUACCAGUGUUGAUCACUGUAACUGUACAUAGGCCUUAAUUUAUGUAUAUAGUGGUUACUCUCAGUAUUUUUCCAAAAUUGUUUUAAGCUAUUCUAGUUCCUUUGCUUUUUCAUACAAAUUGUAGAAUAAUGACCACAAAAAAAAAAACAUUUGCUUGGAUUUUGAUAGGAAUGACAGUAAACCUGUAUAUUCAUUUGAGGAUAGUUGAGAUCUUUAUUAUGGUCAAUGUUCUAAUCCACAUGGCAUGUCUGUUUCUUUAGCUUUUUAAAUUUUUCAAUGGUGUUUUGUAAUUUUUAUGUGAGUGCUGCAUGUAUUUUGUUAGAUUCACUUGCAAAUAUUUUUGAGCAAUUGUAAAUGGCAUUAUAGUUUUAAUUUUAGUGCUCACUGUUCAAUGCUAUUAUGUAGAAAUAUAAUUAAUUUUUCUAAGUUAAUAUUGUUCAUGUAACCUUCCUUCUAUGUAAUGUAUUACAGAUUUCUUAGGAUUUUUAACAUACUGUUACCUACAAGUAGGGACAGUUUCUUCCUUUCUGAUAUAUACACACACAUUUAUGUGUGUGUGUGUAUGAGUAUGCGUGUUUUAUUUUCUUUCCAGUUGCACUGACUAAACCAUGCUGAAUAAGAAUGGUAAAAGCAAGCCAGGACUAUUGGCACAUGCUUAUAAUCCCAGUGAUACAGGAGCCUGAGGCAAGAUGAUCACAAGUUUGAGGCCAUCCUGGCCCUGUCUCAAAAUAAAAAUAGCUAGGGAUGUAGCUGUGUGGUAGAGUACCCCCGGGUUCAAUCCCCAGUAACUCCUCCUCUCCCACCCCCACAAAAAAAAAAUGUGGUUACAGCAGACAUUCUUACCUUGGUCCCAGUUUUGGGGGAAAGCAUUCAGUGUUUCCCCAGUAAAUAUAUUAGCUGUCAAGUGUUUUUAGAUAUCAUUAAUUUAAGAAACUUCUCCUUAUUUUUGGUGAUUUUAUAUUUGUAUAUCAUGAAUGGUAGCUGGAUUUUGUCAAACUUUUUUUUUUUUUAUUUUUGGGGUCAUUGUUGUUGUUAUUGUUACUGGGGAUUGAACCCAGGGGUGCUUAACCUCUGAGCCACAUCCCCAACCCUUUUAAUAUUUUAUUUAGAGACAGGAUCUUACUGAGUUGUUUAAGGCCUCAAUCGAUUGCUGAGGCUGGCUUUGAACUGGAUAUCCUCCGGCCUCAGCCUCCGGAUCCUCUGGGAUUGUAGGCAUACACUACCAUACCCAGCUGGAUUUUGUCAGAUUUUUUAUAUUAAUAGAAUAAUAUUAUUUUGGUUUUUUGCCCAUUAAUAUUGUUGAAUACUUUAAUUUUUUUUUAAUGUUGAACCUGCCACACAACACUGGAAUUAACACACAUAAUAAUGAUGUAUAAUUCCUUUUAUAUAUUGCUGGGUUAUAUUUACUAAUAUUUUGUUAAGGACUUUUACAUUUAUAUUCAUGAGAGAAAUGGGUCUGUGGAUAUAUUUUUUAAAAUUUAUUUUGUAGAUGUAGAUGGACAGCAUGCCUUUAUUUUAUUUGUUUAUUUUUAUGGUGCUGAGGAUUGAGCCCAGUGCCUCAUACAUGCUAGGCAAGCGCUCUGCAACUGAGCUACAGCCCCAGCCCCAUGAAUAUAUUUUAUUAUACUGUAAUUAUCAUAUCAAGGUAAUGUUCACUUCAUAAAAUGAAUUAGGAGGUGUUUCCUGUGCUGAUAUACCUGUGACACAGUAUUUCACUCAUAACAGUGUAAAUUCUAGAUGUAUAAAACAGAAUACUUAAGCCAGGCUCCAGGGAUCAUGCCUAUAAUCCCAUUUGUUUAGGAGGUUGAGGAAGGAGGAUUGUGAGUUCAAAGCCAACCUCAGCAACUUAGGCCCUAAGCAACUCAGUGAGACCCUGUCUCUAAAUAAAAUAUAAAAAGAUAAUAUUUAAAAAUCAGACUUAUCCCAACUGUCCCUUAGUGAAAUUGUGUUGGUAUAUCAACACAGGAAAUUCUAUGCAACAGUAAGAAAAGAAAUAAGAGAUAACCUCUGUAAAUUUCCCUAGGAGAAUCUGGAUCCCUAGAAUCUCCAUCUCCAGAAUAUGUAAUGAAGGGUAUAGAUACAUUAUGAAUAUGUUAUGAAGGAGGAAAUGCAGAACGGUGUGUAUCACACCUUUAUAUAAGAAACAAGAAUGAUACACAUCUCUGAUUAAUUAUAAGGUGAAGACAAAAAAAGAGGAUAAGGAUAGAUUUUUUUUCUGAAGGCACCUUGUUUAUAGUUUUUAAAUUGAAAGUAUGAAAAUUCUGAUGUGAUUAUGAAACAAGAUUAAAUAAUAAAGAAAUCCUCAAAAAUGGAGAACAAAAUGAAACAAAUGAACCUCAUUGUGUUUCAACUUUGGCUUAAAUAGAGAAGAAUCACUUCAGUGUCUUUAAAACACUGCACUUCAACUGAAUUUCCUAGUGGAAUAAUAGCCUAAAGACAAAAAGAAUUGCCAACAAAUGUUAAAUUGUUCUUUUGUUUGUUUUGUUUUGGGGUUUUGGGUUUUGGUUUUCGGUUUUGGGGUUUUUGUUUUGUUUUGUUUUGUUUUGGGUUUUUUUGGUACUGGGGAUUGAACUCAGGAGCACUUGACCAUUGAGCCACAUCCGGAGCCCUAUUUUGUAUUUUAUUUAUUUAGAGACAGGGUCUCAUGAGUUGCUUAGCACCUCACCAUUGCUGAGACUGGCUUUGAACUCACAAUCCUCCGGCCUCAAUCUCCCAAGCCACUGGGAUUAUAGGUGUGCACCACCAUGCCCAGCUUACAUUGUUCUUAAUUCUCAUAUUUUUAGCAAUUAUACUGUUAUGUUAUUUUGAAAUUACAAUGUAGAUUAUAAGAAAAACAAAUGAAUAAUUUUGUUUAUAUUAGAAUCCCAUUUUUAACACAAGAAAAAAGGGAUGAGAAUAUAAAAUAAGUUGCAAGGCCUAUAAUGCUAAGUUUGAAUUGAAAAUAUAGAAGAAACUUACUCCUAUUGCAAGGAAAGAUAGAAAAGUGUAAGAAGGCUUAAUUUUUAAUUUGAAUGUGGGAAAUUUCAAGCAUAUGUAAAAGUAAGGAGAUAGUAUACUGAAUCUCCAUUUGUCCAUCAUUCAUAUCAACAGUUAUCAACUCAUGGUCAUUUUUCUUCCAUUGAUACCAGUGGUUCUGUACUAGGUGCUCUUUUGUCAUUUGCCAAUGUCAUGAAAGAUUUUUGCUUAUGAUAACCUGGAUGGGAGUGUUCUAUCAGGAAGGUACUAGUGGCAUCUAGUCAUGCUAAAUUAGUGUGUCAAUUUCAAAUGCUUCUACUUCACUGAAUAAGUUUUAUCAUUAAUUCUCUGGGAUUUGGGGGGCUUAGUGCUAUACCAUCAACAAUUGGAGGUAGUUUCACUUACCUUUUACUCAUCCCUAUAUCUAUAAUUGAUUUCUUAUGUCUGAUUGCAUUAAUACUUCUACAGCAUUGAAUAGUAGGAGAAAUAAUGGAUGUUCUCACCUUGGUUUUCAUUAUAUUGGAAAUACACCUAGUGUUUCUUUACUAUGUAAAGUACUAGUUGUAGGGCUAAAGUAUGUGUGAAUUUUACCAUAAUGUGGAAAUAUCCCCCAGUUUCCUGUUUCUGUGCGUGUUUAUAUUAUUUGUAAUGCAAGAUUUUUUUAAAGCUUUUUUGAUAUCUCUAGAUAUAUAUUUUUCCAUUAAAUAUACAUAUAAUAAUAGAGUUGUGUACCACUUAAUGAUGUUUUUGGUCAACGAUGGACCAUAACAUUGGUUCCAUAAGAUUACAAAAGAGUAAGAAAUUUCCUACUUAGUAACAUCAUAGCCAUUGUACCUUUUUUUUUUUUUUUUUUUUUUAAAUUUUUUAUUUGGCAAGUACUGAGAUCUGAAACCAGGGAGCUGCACCUGGCUAAGAGUACUUACUGAGCUGUAUGUACUCUUAGCCCUUUUUAUUUAGUUAUUUAUUUUGUGACAGGGUCUUGCUAAGGUACAAAGGCUGUCCUUCAAUUUUCAAUCCUGCAUCAGCCUCCCAAGUCCUGGGAUUGCACGUGCUCCACUCCCAGCUUUGUAUUGUUAUUUUACAGUGUGUUUUACUUGUGAAAAUAGAUAAGUUUAAGUAGGCUGUGUUACCCUGGCAGCAGCCUCAUCCAUCUUGUGUUUACCACAUCAACGGGUCACAUCAAGUGAUUAAUCUAUACCAUCUAGGUUAUGACACAUAAUUGCACAUUGUUUAUAAUAAAGAAAAGGCAUGGAUUGUUGAAGCUUAGUGUUAUGAAAAGGUGUAAGAGGAGUUAACAUUCACACUGAAUCUGACAGUUCCAGAGGGGUUUUAACAUAUAGGAAAGGGAAUCAAGACAUUGAAGAUUAGAAAUAAUUUCAGAAGUAAGGUGAUAUACAGAUCCAUCACAGACUUUAGAUACCAGACUACAUUUCCCAACUCAUAUGCCUCUUCUAGUUCAUUUUCUCCAUUCCACUUUGUCAAGCAUGCCCUCUGUAAACAAGCUUACACUUUGCUUUUGUUUUUAUCUAAUACAUCUGCCACCAUUCAUUUUCCUAUUUUUACCUUUUGCUAGCGUCUUUUAGACAUGUAGCAAACCCUUAUUUAGAUAUCACUAAUAUUUCCUGUAUAAAUUUAGUCUCAAUCACAUUAAUCAUUGGCAACUUCUUUCUUUUCUUUUCUUUCAGGAUAUAAGAGCAGUCUUCAAACCACAAAGUCAACUCAAACUAAAGACUUCACAUUUCAAGGGCUGAGGAGGAAAAGACUAAAAAGGGAUGAACUCUGGGACGUUAUAUCAGAAAAACCCUGUAUAUCUGAAAACAGGUUAAAAAGACAGCAAGACAAAAAUGAAAGCUUAAAAAUAUUUUCAGUUACCCAUAAGAAAAUUCUUACUAUAGACAAAAGCCA
This 9450-nucleotide long non-coding RNA is filed under the name Marmota monax (woodchuck). The stretch from base 3298 to 3369 matches the Rfam family "tRNA". The record is from RNAcentral. Lineage: Eukaryota; Metazoa; Chordata; Mammalia; Rodentia; Sciuridae.